Molecule: unclassified non-coding RNA, 488 nt
Filed under: Hevea brasiliensis (rubber tree)
Lineage: Eukaryota; Viridiplantae; Streptophyta; Magnoliopsida; Malpighiales; Euphorbiaceae
Source: RNAcentral
GUCAGGUCUCAAAGGCGAUUUUUCCUCAUUUAAAAGAGUCUCAAAGACUUCUUCAGCUUCCUUAAACUUGUUUCCCUCAACAAAUAUUUUUAGUAUUAUUUGAUACGUUACAGCAGAAGGCUUAGGGCCAGACAAUUGCAUCCUCCGAAAAAUGGCUUCAGCAUUAUUAUAUCGAGCUCCUCUUCCAUAGGCCUCCAUAAGGGCAGUAUGGGACACAACAUUCGGCACAUAACCCAUCUUAUUCAUAUAGCUCAAGACCUUCUCAGCCUCGUUGAAGUUCCCUAGCUUUCCAUGAGCUGUUAUAAGCAUCAGAGAAUCCAUUUCAUUGAAGUCCCACCAAUGCUGAGUCCGAAGCCAUUCCAAAAUCUCAGCAACAAGAUUCCAUUUCUUUAGCUGCUUAAAUCUAACCAAAGUACCCAAAACGAGGUCUUUAGGAAGAGCAUGAUUCUGGGUCCUCUUGCUUUUGAGAACUGAAACAGCAGAACCCG